Pezoporus flaviventris is the source of this 202-nucleotide long non-coding RNA. RefSeq lists it as uncharacterized. The record is from RefSeq and is a predicted model, not a curated record. The transcript is spliced from 3 exons. NCBI's taxonomy places the organism in Eukaryota, Metazoa, Chordata, Aves, Psittaciformes, Psittacidae.
CUGCAAUGCUAUAAAAGGUGGGAUUUUUGCUUGUUGAGGGCUGUGCAAUCAACAGGAAAGAUAAGAAGGUCAAACAGGAAGAGCUGUGCUGGAGUCAGUUGUGAGCAGAGCUGAGGAAGGCACAGAUCUGUGUGCUCUUUUCCAGCAUGUUAUAGUGAAUCAGACUUGGAAAAGAUUGUUGGUAAUCUUAACUGCAUCACUG